UACGAAGGGGGCUAGCGUUGCUCGGAAUCACUGGGCGUAAAGGGUGCGUAGGCGGGUCUUUAAGUCAGGGGGGAAAUCCUGGAGCUCAACUCCAGAACUGCCUUUGAUACUGAAGAUCUUGAGUUCGGGAGAGGUGAGUGGAACUGCGAGUGUAGAGGUGAAAUUCGUAGAUAUUCGGAAGAACACCAGUGGCGAAGGCGACUCACUGGACACGUAUUGACGCUGAGGUGCGAAAGCGUGGGGAGCAAACAGG
This 253-nucleotide ribosomal RNA is filed under the name uncultured bacterium. Its description in RNAcentral is "partial 16S ribosomal RNA". It matches the Rfam family "Bacterial small subunit ribosomal RNA", at positions 524 to 776 of the family's 1533-position model. The record is from RNAcentral.